Molecule: long non-coding RNA, 10419 nt
Filed under: Populus trichocarpa (black cottonwood)
Lineage: Eukaryota; Viridiplantae; Streptophyta; Magnoliopsida; Malpighiales; Salicaceae
Description: long non-coding RNA (PTRI_LNC003881)
Source: RNAcentral
GGGGGGUAAUUUUGAAAUUUGAGGGGAGAGGCAACACAAAAACAGAAACCCUAAAAGCCUAAUUUUUUCUCCCCUCACGGGGGAGGCAGCCGCCAGCCCCCCACCGUUUGAUUUUUCUCUUCUCCCUCACCGAAAGAGAGAGCCGCCAGCCCCCCCUGGAUUAUUUUUCUCUUCUCCCUCAACCGGACAACCGAUCUUCCCCACCCUCACAAAUCAGCCUCACCGAAACCCACUGACCAGACGAUUUUCCUCCUCCCCUUGUCCUCUGCCAAACACAAACCAGGCCACACCCUUCUUCCCCUCACAGGAGCUAAACCUUCACCCAGCCAUACUCUCCCCUCAUCUCACCAGGGCUGUUCCUUCACAGCCGGUUUUCCCUCAGCCACUGUGAACGCCAUCUCCAGCCGCUCCCCCAUUUCAACAGAUCUUCCCUCUCAGCUGCUCCCUUCUCCAGCCGCCAGCUCGCCAGACCAAAAGGAGGGCAGAGCCGUUCCCCUUCGUUCUCCCCUCUCGUCGGCCGCCUCCUCAUCUUCCCCGAUCUCUUCAUCUCCAUCAACACCGAAGCUUCAUCCAGCAGCAGCCAACACACGGCAGCACCCACAGAGUCAACAGCCGUUCCCAUCUCCACCCGACAAACCCAGCAGACCCGAACCGGCCACCAGCUGCUGCACAGCCAUCGCCGCCCAAACGCCAGACCUGCCACCCAAAGCAGAGGAGAAGACGAAACCCACAACAAAUUGACCCGCCGUGUAGUCGAAGAAGGAGAAGGGAGAGAAGCCGAUCUGGACCAAAAAGAAAAAAUUAAAAUCAACUGCUGUUGUGCGUUGUUUCUCCUUGUUGCAGGUGACGGUGACCUUCACCGCCGACGUAGGGAGACAGAGAAGAAGAAGAGGUUCCCGAUCCACCGGUUUCUGCCACCUUCAUCGGCGGCGGCGCGUGGAACCACGCGCCGCCAGUGACGCCACUGUUCUGGCAGCUCCAGAAGUCGGCCUGACACUGUUCCGGGUUGUUUGGUUCAUUUUGUAAUUUUCAAAUUGUUUAAUGUAAUAUUUGUGUAAUUUUGAGUUUUUUUUUAUAAUUUGUACUUUGUGUAAAUGUGGAGGAAAAAGAAAAAAAGAAAAGAAAAGAAAAGAAAAGAAAAAAACAAAUAUUAAUAGAAAAAGAGUUGUGCGUGUUUUGUUUUUUUGUUAUGUAUAUUAUUGAAUAAAAAGAAAAAAAAUGAAUUUAAUUUAUAUGCACAAAUAUCUAAAGGACAGAUAAAAAUCAUGUUGUAUUUUCCAUAAAAAUGUAGAACAUGUAUCUACAUAUAUUUUGGGAACUAAUAACUGAUUUAUCAAAGCCUUAGAAUUGGGCUAAAAUUUUAUUUUUAAAACGCAUCAAGUCCACGAAGCAGCUUACCUCAGGUAGGGUGCGUUAGGGGUGCGAAUACCUUCCCUAACCACAACCAGUCCCUUACCCGCGAAUCUUUGACAAGACCAGUACAUCAGGUUUCCUAGUAGCCCUCAAUAAAUUACUAGGUGGCGACCCCAACGAACCAAGCAAGCAAAACACAUAACAACAGAAAAAUCGCCAGCAGAUGCCGCGCGGAUUUUGACGUGCGACAGAAUGGCGACUCCACUGGGGAAGGUAUUGUUUCUGAUGAUAUUGGACUAAGCUUUGUGUAUUUGAUGUGUUUAUGUUUUGCAUUUUUGUCUUGUUUUAUUUUUGUUUUAUUCAUGCAUUUUGUAGAAUUGUCUCAUGCAUCACAUAUUUUAAUUUUUUUAAAGCACACACAAGCUUCAGGUUAGGAGGGGGACUAGCAGCUUACCUUAUGACUUUUAGUCAAGGUUUAAGUUUGUGUAAACCCCAACUCUUCGUUGAGUGCUUAGACUGGUAAUAGUUGGACAUGUGCCAUCUCAUUGCCUACAAGCCCCCAUAUUGCCUCCACGAGGGCAAUCACUGGGACAACAAGAGACCCUUUUUAGAGACCAAGUAAUAAACCUACCUUUUGUCUCACUUAAAAAAUUAGAACCUGCCUUUAGGAUGUGUGCUCCGUAUAUAUUGUUUUGCAUCAGGGCAAACCCUUCUUGAAGCAUCUUGAACUCAAGACUUUUGGGUGACCCAAUGGCCGUCACUUAGAAAAUUUUCAUUGUAGAGUUUGGGCAAGAAUCAAGAUUCUUGUUUCAUCAUACAAGAGUUACGACCAUAUGUCACCCCUCGAAGGGCGAGUUCAUCAUAUAGUUUACAUGUCCAUACAUUUAUCAUGCAUGUACCGGGUUGAAAGAUAGGUUCUCCCACACAAGUUGUGCUACGCGCGAAUGAAGAAAGAUGAUAGAAGCAAAGAAAGUUGUCGGAGAAAGGCUCAUUGUCAAAAGGAAGUUGAGAGCAUCAGAGGUGAAGUAGCCAGAAUCAGAUAUGCUUGAUCAAGUGUAGAGCAUCAAAGGGAAAGGGAAUGUCUACACAGUCUUCUGUGGGAACACUGCUUGUCCAUGUCUCAUUGAAGUUACAUCUCCAUUUUAGUCCUGAACAACAACAGCAAUGCCUUCAGUCAUCAACUAAGGACAACUUUGGUUCUUGUUCAGUUGCACUGCUAAUUGUUCAUCGCCUCCAUAUCUUUCAAUGACACCAAAUAAUUGCUAGCCUUCUGUGCAUGGUGCAUUAGUCUUCUUUGAAGUUACCCCAACUGUUAGCUCAAUUCCAGUUCAGCGGCACAAGAUGUAAAAAAAAAAACAAAAAAAAAACAAAAAAAAAACCCCGAAAAAAAAACUGAAAAAAAAAACCAUGAUUCGACCCUGAACUUCUACGUUGCAGAGCUCUCUCUGUAGAUAUUUCUUUAUGGAUCUGCAAGUGGGGAAUGCAAGAGGGGAUGUAGUAUUUUCAUAUGCUACAAAAAUUCGCCCCAUCAAUUUCAGAACCGAAACACUGGAGUAGGCAGAAGGGUCACACCUGGUCUGAAAACAUGAGCCGUCAUUAAACUUCAACGCGGCAGAGCUCUCUCUACAAAAAUCCGUUUGUGGCUCUGCAAGUAGGGAAUGCAAGAGGGGAUGCAGUACUUUCAUAUGCUACAAAACUUUGGCUCAUCAGUUUCAGCACUGAAACACUGGAGUAGGCCGAAGAGUCAGACCUAGUCUGAAAACAUGAGCAGUCGUCGAACUUUGACGUGUCAGAGCUCUCUCUACAAAAACCCGUUUGUAGCUCUGCAAGUGGAGAAUGCAAGAGGGGAUGUAGUAGUUUCAGAAAAUGUGAAAAUUUAUGCCACCAGUUUCCGCAUCGAAACACUGUAGUAGGCAGAAAAGCCAGACUUGAGCUAGAAAACAGGAGCAAAUAUAGAACUUCACCGUGGCAGAGCUCUCUCUGCAGAAACCUGUUUGUAGAUCUGCAAGUGGAGAAUCCAAGAAGGGAUGCAGCAGUUUCUGAUCAUCUAUAAUUUUCUCUCAUCGGUGUUAGCUUGAAAAUGCAAAAGAAGGGAAAAGAGACAAACCUCGGCUGAAAAAUAGAAAGAAGAUUGAAACUUCAACAGAGCAGAGCUCCCUCUACAGGUGUCUGUUUGCUGCACCAUCAGUGAGGAAUCAAAGAGGAGACAAAGGAGUUUUAGAUUCAUCAAGUUCUCUUCCAGUUUUGACAAUGUGUGAUUCCACACGUCGGCAGUGGCAAUGCUGCAAGUCUCCGGGUGCUGCCAAGAUUACCUAGCUGUUGGAAGGUUUCCAACAAUCCACAAACGACCACAACAACAGGGGAAGAUUGACAUGAUGUUGUGAAGAUUGUCAAAAGAAUUGAACAAGCUAUAAAGAGAGGAAAGAUUGAAGGUUUUGCCAUGGAUUCCAGAACUAUGAAGAGAGUUGAAUCAGAAGAUGACUCUCAAUUGAGAAACCUCAGUUAUUUUGCCUAGUCAAGUCUCGCUCAAGCAUCAACUACUCCAAUGUCUCUGCCAAAGAUAGUCAUUCCUUUGCCAUGUGGGUUUAUUUACCAGCAUCUGCCAGAUUCCAGACUUUUUCCUGACUCCGACAAAACCCAUGCAACCACCGUUUUCUAGGUGGUAUAAUCCAGACAAGAGAUGUGAUGUCAUGGUGGGGUCCUUAGCCAUUUCAAUUGAAUAAUUGCAAGAAUCGAGUCCGCAAAUUGGUGAGCAAAAGACGAGUGGAGUUUGCGAAGGAGGGUGUCAUUGGCUAAAUUGUCGCUAGAACAUCCUCAGAAUGACGAGUGAUCGGAAUUGCUUGGCAAAACAGAGAUAUUGCCAAAGAGGCUGAUCUAAGAAGGGGUUAAACUGUCAAUCAUUUUUGUUAUGAAUUUUUGCCAUUCUGCAUUUUGUUUCGGGAUCACAUCUCCUCCUUGAACGAAACAUGUCUUUCCUUUGUCUUCCUGUUGUUUUGAAAUCAAGAGAUGCUUCUUUCAAAGGGUAUUUUUACAAAAUAUUUUGAUCAAGCUCCAACAUGCGAUUAAGAUUAAUCAAUCCUGAAGAUUAAAAGUAUUUUGAUUGCAGAAAUAACUUGAUGCUUGAAAAUGACAUGAGGUGACCAAACAAUUUUUGAACUCAUACUUCCUGAAACUGAACCACACAUCAUAUAGCUAGUUUUAGCAGUAUGCAUAAUGACAUGUAGUGGAUUCAAUAGUUAUGGACUCGUGAAUCAUGAUUCUUACAAGUCCAAAUCAUUGCACUGGAUGAGGUCAAAAUUUAUCGAUUCUAACCGACCUUGCUUGAAAUGAGAAAAGGCCAUCUUUGUUAUACUUUCACAUUUCUUGAAAUAUUAUCCCUUGCAGUCCCAUUUUGAGCCUGGUAAAGUAUUUUCUUUCAAAAAGAAACCCUGACUAGGAUCACACCCUACAUUGGGGAAAAAUGAGAGAUAUUUUGAAGACACUGAUUGGACUAAUGGAUAAAAGAAAGGCUUAGAACAAAAGUCAAAUGAUUGAGAAAGGGCUAGAAGAAUAAAAGCCAUAGAUUGAGGGCCAUCCAAGAAAACUUUGAGGAAGGCUGUGAGAAAGCAAAAAAAAAAAGAAAAGAAAAAAAAGAGAUUGAAAAAAGAAGAAGUUGAAUCUGCCUUCACUUAAAGGCAAGUCAAAGAUAAAGGAAGGAGAAUGCCUAUCAAUUCUAAGAGUGGCAAAAGAGGUUUCAAUUGAAGAAAGACACAACAAAUGCCAAAAGUCAACACUAAAAAAAUCAAGUUUCAUGUUUUUUGGUGUGUCUAGGAUAAAGCCUUUAGUGUCUUUAAAAAAAAAUUUUUAGAUUGAUUAUUCAUCAUAGAAAAAGUUGGAUUUACAUUAUGACCUAUGUUAAGAGAAUUCUGAUCUUUGAGAUUAACAAGGUUAUAUGUCACUUUCUCCACAAUGACAACAAGAAAGAGAGUUGAUGAAUAGUUGAUGUUGAUCCUAAGUCUUUGAAAUCCUCAAACACUUUUUGAGCUUGUGAAAUUCCUUUCUUUCAUAGCCAUGAACCAUAGCUUGCAUUAUGUGCUUUUAAAAGCCCUUUUUAAUCAAGUAAGCAAUCUGAACCGAUAAAUGGCGAUCUCAAAACUUGAAGAGUUUUCCAUAAGAGUCAUAGCUUCAUGGAUUAAGCUAAUGGUUAUUAUGCAUGCUGAUAAAAUUGGUGUUAAAAAAAAAAAACAAUCUUUCUUGAUAAGUCCUCAAGUUUUGACUUGUGUCUUUUGUUUUUUGAAAUUCACAGAAGGUCACCUCAUCAUAGACCAUCAAAAGAUAUACCCGAAAUCAGAGUCUAAAAUGGAUACAAAGAACCAUGAAAAAAAAAACCAUUUUAGUCUUACAAUGGGUCAAUUUCUGUUUUCAAAAUACAUGACAAUCAAAGGACUGUAUAUUUCGAAUAACGUGUGUUGGAUCUUUGACCGAAGAAACUUGAUUUUCAAAAACUGACAUCUCUCUGAUUUCAUUUCAACAAUUAGACUUGAAUUGACAUGAUCUUUGAAAUAUGAGAGUUGAUUCCAGAACAAGAAAGAUUGUUAAACAACAAGAACAUCGACCGAAUUUGCAAAAUCCUUGACAAGAAUGACAUCAACACUUCUUGACACUCCUUGAAAAGUUGACCACCUGGAGGCAAUACAGUGGAUCAUGGGUAGGAAAACAAGCAGUAUUUAGAUCAGCUGGGGGCAAUUAAAGAUGAUCAAAUGAUGAAUCAAUGCACUAAGGACAAUAGUGUUUAAAGAAAGCUAAUCAGCAGGACAAACAUUCAGAUCAUUACUGGGGGCAAUGUUGUUCAAAGAUAGUCCAUGAUCUAGUGAACCCCGUCAACAAUCGGGAAAGCAAAGAUACACUUCAAGGAAAUCUUUUGAAACAUGGCUAUCGACCGAUGUGGGCAUACAGUUGCAUUCGAACGAAUAUGAAAAGAUGCACACCACCAAGAUUGAUUGCGGAACAAUGUUGUACUUGAAGGAUAAUGUCAUAUUAUCAUCUCCAACUUGGCUAUGACUUUUGAACGAUGUUAUCGCAUAGUUGUGAAUAUUGGAAGGAUGCACUCACCAAGACUGACUGUGGGACCAUAUGUUUUGGAGCUCAAUGCGCACUUCACCGUAUGAAUAUGGGUGAUAACAUGAACAUCAUUGAUGAUGUCGAGACAUUUCUUUUCACUAUCUGAUUUGACAAGCUGAGAGAAAUCCAUGAGAAAGAACAUUGAGCAUACAACGAUGAGUCUUUCACUGCAAGCUAUGAGAUGCAUGUCUGGACGAUUGGAUAAUUUCCAUGAAGACUGGUGAUAACAUUACUUGAAGAGUAUUGUUUCAGCUUGAGGCAAGUUUAUGACUGAUGGACAAUCAUGAUGGGUGUUGGCAUGAUGCACACAACCAAUCAGAGGAUAAUUCUUAGAAGAAUCCAGGAGAGAAAAUCCUUCACGAUGAAUCAAGCAACACCACACUUGGGGGCAGAGUCAAGCUUGAUAAACCACAAGAGCAGUAACCGUUGAAGACAGCCUAGAUUGGGCACUGCACUUACAACUGAGUGGAUGGCUAGCACAUGAAUGAGUCAGUACAUGGGAAGGACAAAUAAAGCUUUGGAAUGCAAACAAAGGCACCCUGUGAUGAUGGAACAUCGAAGAGAGGGGACCUAUAUUUCACAUCAGGUAAGGAUGCAUGCAUGUCAUCUAACCUCAAAGCAUUGCACAUACUUAUGAUUUGUUACAGAAAGAUCCUCAAUGAAGUCCAGCAAGAUUGUGGACAAAGAAAGAAUCAUUGAGUUGAUAACAGAGAAUCAUGGUUGUGACCUUGAAACGGGAAGAAGAUGAGAUAAACCUUACUGUUAGGAAAAUCUCAAAGAAAUGAAAAGAUCAACCUUGCAAUCAGGAAGCAUCGAGUUUUCAAACCCUGCGAUCAAGAAUUAUCAAGAAGCACCAAGUUUUCUGGCCCUUCUUCUAUCAUCCCUUCAGGACUUCGCCAGGUAAGUCCCAUUUCUCACACUUGUCACAUCACAUCUUUCAUUUGGGUAGGUCACCCAUAACAAUGAGACCACUUCAUAUUUUUUCUAUCCUCCACCUGGGUAGGUCACCCAUAACAAUGAGACCACUUCAUAUUUGUUCUAUCUUCCAUCUGGGUAGGUCACCCAUUAUAACGCGACCACUUCACAUUUUUUCUAUCUUCCAUCUGGGUAGGUCACCCAUAACAAUGAGACCACUUCACAUUUUUUCUAUCUUCCACCUGGGUAGGUCACCCAUAACAAUGAGACCACUUCACAUUUUUCUAUCUUCCAUCUGGGUAGGUCACCCAUUACAAUGAGACCACUUCAUAUUUUUUCUAUCCUCCACCUGGGUAGGUCACCCAUAAUAAUGAGACCACUUCAUAUUUGUUCUAUCUUCCAUCUGGGUAGGUCACCCAUUAUAACGCGACCACUUCACAUUUUUUCUAUCUUCCACCUGGGUAGGUCACCCAUUAUAACGCGACCACUUCACAUUUUUUCUAUCUUCCACCUGGGUAGGUCACCCAUUAUAAUGAGACCGCACUUCACAUUCUUUCCAUUUGGGUAGGUCACCCAUCAUAAUGAGACCGUUUUCCAUCAUUUUUUCUUGGGUUCGUCACCCAUACAAUGAGACCAUCAUUUUUUUUCUUGGGUUCGUCACCCAUACAAUGAGACCAUCAUUUUUUUUCUUGGGUUAGUCACCCAUACAAUGAGACCAUCAUUUUUCUGGGGUUCGUCACCCAUACAAUGAGACCACCAUUUUUCUGGGGUUCGUCACCCAUACAAUGAGACCACCAUUUUUCUGGGGUUCGUCACCCAUACAAUGAGACCAUCAUUUUUCUUGGGUUCGUCACCCAUACAAUGAGACCAUCAUUUUUCUUGGGUUUGUCACCCAUACAAUGAGACCAUUUGUUCCACAUUCUUUGUUUUGGUUUAAUGAGGUCGCCAGAUGAGAUCUCAUGUAGCUUUGGUUAAAGGGAAUCGCCAGAUGGGAUUUCAGGUUAACCGAGUUACGUCACAUUUUUUAGUUCCAGUUGAAUGAGGUUGCCAGAUGGAAUCUCAUGUAGCUUUGGUUAAAGGGAAUCGCCAGAUGGGAUUUCAGGUUGACCGAGCUACCACACAUUUUUUAGUUCCAGUUGAAUGAGGUUGCCAGAUGGAAUCUCAUGUAGCUUUGGUUAAAGGGAAUCGCCAGAUGGGAUUUCAGGUUGACCGAGCUACCACACAUUUUUUUAAGUUCAAGUUGAAUGAGGUCGCCAGAUGGGAUCUCAUGUAGCUUUGGUUAAAGGGAAUCGCCAGAUGGGAUUUCAGGUUGACCGAGCUACACACAUUCUUUGGUUUUGAAAAAGAAGAUCGCCAGAUGGGAUCUCAAGUUAACGAAAAAAAAGAAAAAGAAACAUUUAGAGUUUUUCUUUACAAAGCUUACUAUGCGAAACAUUGAGGAGUUUUGCUUCGUAAGCAUUGUAAAGAGGGGGCAUCUGUUGCUACCCAAUUUUUGACCCAUGUUUUGAUAAAUUUUUUAAAAAAUCCAAAAAUAGCGAAAAACAUUGAAAAUCCAAAAAAAUACAUUUUUAAUACAUUUGCAUCGUUUUUAGCAUUUUUAGCAUCAUCUUAAAAGAAUUUAAAUUUUCAACGACAUUUGGAACGCGUUCAACUUUUAACGCGUUAUUUUUAAAAUCAUUGAUUUUCUUCAUUGAGUCGACGUUGAUAUUGCUCGUUUUCAAAAAUACAAAAAAAUUAAGAAAAAUCAAAUUUUACAAAAAAGAAAGAAAGUUGAGGGACCAAUUUUGAGAUCCAUGCAACAUUUUACCUAUAAAUACUGGUUCACAACUCAAACAAAAGGGGGGGGGUAAUUUUGAAAUUUGAGGGGAGAGGCAACACAAAAACAGAAACCCUAAAAGCCUAAUUUUUUCUCCCCUCACGGGGGAGGCAGCCGCCAGCCCCCCACCGUUUGAUUUUUCUCUUCUCCCUCACCGAAAGAGAGAGCCGCCAGCCCCCCCUGGAUUAUUUUUCUCUUCUCCCUCAACCGGACAACCGAUCUUCCCCACCCUCACAAAUCAGCCUCACCGAAACCCACUGACCAGACGAUUUUCCUCCUCCCCUUGUCCUCUGCCAAACACAAACCAGGCCACACCCUUCUUCCCCUCACAGGAGCUAAACCUUCACCCAGCCAUACUCUCCCCUCAUCUCACCAGGGCUGUUCCUUCACAGCCGGUUUUCCCUCAGCCACUGUGAACGCCAUCUCCAGCCGCUCCCCCAUUUCAACAGAUCUUCCCUCUCAGCUGCUCCCUUCUCCAGCCGCCAGCUCGCCAGACCAAAAGGAGGGCAGAGCCGUUCCCCUUCGUUCUCCCCUCUCGUCGGCCGCCUCCUCAUCUUCCCCGAUCUCUUCAUCUCCAUCAACACCGAAGCUUCAUCCAGCAGCAGCCAACACACGGCAGCACCCACAGAGUCAACAGCCGUUCCCAUCUCCACCCGACAAACCCAGCAGACCCGAACCGGCCACCAGCUGCUGCACAGCCAUCGCCGCCCAAACGCCAGACCUGCCACCCAAAGCAGAGGAGAAGACGAAACCCACAACAAAUUGACCCGCCGUGUAGUCGAAGAAGGAGAAGGGAGAGAAGCCGAUCUGGACCAAAAAGAAAAAAUUAAAAUCAACUGCUGUUGUGCGUUGUUUCUCCUUGUUGCAGGUGACGGUGACCUUCACCGCCGACGUAGGGAGACAGAGAAGAAGAAGAGGUUCCCGAUCCACCGGUUUCUGCCACCUUCAUCGGCGGCGGCGCGUGGAACCACGCGCCGCCAGUGACGCCACUGUUCUGGCAGCUCCAGAAGUCGGCCUGACACUGUUCCGGGUUGUUUGGUUCAUUUUGUAAUUUUCAAAUUGUUUAAUGUAAUAUUUGUGUAAUUUUGAGUUUUUUUUUAUAAUUUGUACUUUGUGUAAAUGUGGAGGAAAAAGAAAAAAAGAAAAGAAAAGAAAAGAAAAGAAAAAAACAAAUAUUAAUAGAAAAAGAGUUGUGCGUGUUUUGUUUUUUUGUUAUGUAUAUUAUUGAAUAAAAA